GCUAGCGCCCUGCCCGGCGCCGCCUCCCUCGGCGUGCUCGCCCCGCGGACCGGCAGGCGGCGGACCGGCAGGCGGAGGACCGCGGCCCCAGGUGGUGGAGAGUUGGGGAGAAUCCAGAGGACAUAUCGUUGUAAUCAUUUCGUCCUUUACCUUCUUACUGCCAAGGCCGCUGUGAAAGGCCCUGCCUCUGCUGUGAAGUAACAGUUUGUGGCCAGACAAGUCCAGAACCAAGACGUUGUCAUCACAGGGGACACGGGUUCGAGCCCUGGUCUGGGAGGAUCCCACGUGCCGCGGAGCAGCUAGUUCCGUGAGCCACAACUACUGAGCCUGCGCGUCUGGAGCCUGUGCUCCGCAACAAGAGAGGCCGCGAUAGUGAGAGGCCCGCGCACCGCGAUGAAGAGUGGCCCCCGCUUGCUGCAACCAGAGAAAGCCCUCUCACAGAAAUGAAGACCCAACACAGCCAAAAAUAAAUAAAUUAAAAAAAAAAAGUGGUGGCUUAUGUGAAGAUUCUUUGUAACAAGUAAAAAGGCAUACUUAGCCCAGGCAGUGUCUUAAAGAAGCACACCUUGUACUGCCUGCCUCUCCCUGAGCCGGAUCUGGUAACUGUGUUACUUUUGCUCUGACCCUUUAGUGAUUUUUCAAAAGCUUUUGGAAAGAAGCACAUCCCCCACCCCAAAUAUAUACUUCUUCUUUUCAUUUUUGAGUAGGUAAUCGAGAGUCCUACACCAGUAAGAACAAAACUGUCCUGAGUGGUUUUUGUUUUCUCUUCACAUGGAUAGGCCCUCAGGUUUACUUAUUUAUUUAUUUUUGGCUGCGUUGGGUCUUCGUUGCUGCGCGUGGGCUUUCUCUACUUGCGGCAAGCGGGGGCUACUCUUCAUUGCGGUGCGCGGGCUUCUCACUGCGGUGGCUUCUCUUGUUGUGGAGCACGGGCUCAGUAGUUGUGGCAUGCGGGCUCUAGAGCGCAGGCUCAGUAGUUGUGGCGCACGGGCUUAGUUGCUCUGCGGCAUGUGGGAUCUUCCCGGACCAGGGCUCGAACCCAUGUCCCCUGCAUUGGCAGGCAGGUUCUUAACCACGGCACCACCUGAGAAGUCCCUGCCCUCAGGUUUUGAUGGUGAUAUAUUUUGCAUUUGUCCUUACUCCGGUAUCCCCAGACCAUGAAAACAACUGUUCCUCAUCCUUGGAGGGUCUGCGGAGAUGCUGGCUGGGUGAAAUCUUCCCCCACCAGGGCUGCUCCAGGGUGAUGCCCUACCUCACUUUCCCCGCCGAGUCCACCUUGAUGAGAACGGAGUAUGUGUUAAUCAGUUCUGCCCAGCUGGUCCUAUAUACCGAGUAGGCCCUCCACAUCUGCAGGUUCUGUAUCCACCAGUUCAACCAACCGUGGAUUGAAAAUAUUCGGGAAAAAAAAUUCCAGAAAGUUCCAGAAAACAAAACUUGAAUUUACCACGUGCCAUAAGUAUUUACAUAGCAUUUACAUUGUAUUCACAACUAUUUACAUUGCAUGUAUGUUCAUUGAACAAAUAAGAGAUGAACAGAAUUUAAUUCAACAAGAAUUUAUCGCCUUUUUUUCUUUUUACAGUACUCAGAUGUGGGUGGGAGCUGGCUGGGGGGCACUUAGAAGUACAGCAGGGGGCCUACCCACCGCAAGAGGGUUUCCCCUUGGCAUUUGGCAGUUUCCCUCAAACCUCAGAUGGCGAGAGCCCAUCCUUCCUUCAGCACUAGACCAGUGUGUUCCUGCACGCCAUGCUGGCCUCCCACACGUGGCUCCCAUGGCAUAGGUGUUAUAAAGGUGGCAGCUGCAGUUCAAAUUAUUCUGUUUAUAAUUAUCACUAGAUUUGGGAUAUGUUAAACAUUAAACAGACUUUUUAUGAGAUGGCCUGAGCAUCUAAUUAAAUAAAAUGCUCUUUCUUUCUGCAAGAUCAUGGAUUCUAAUUCCAAACAACUGACUCAGAAGGAAAGAGGCUGUGUUUAAACAUCUGGGAGUUGGGAAGUGUUUCUGUUUAACGGGGCAAGGGUCCUGCCGGCCCUCCAGUUGUGGAGAUAAGAUAGGCACAGGAGAAGUUAGUGAAAGCAUUGGAGAGGUUUAAGUCUUCUGUGUUCCAGACGCA
This is a long non-coding RNA of Physeter macrocephalus (sperm whale), 2105 nucleotides long. RefSeq lists it as uncharacterized. NCBI's taxonomy places the organism in Eukaryota, Metazoa, Chordata, Mammalia, Artiodactyla, Physeteridae. The transcript has 3 exons. The record is from RefSeq and is a predicted model, not a curated record.